AUUGAACGCUGGCGGCAGGCUUAACACAUGCAAGUCGAACGAGUGGCGGACGGGCGAGUAAUGCUUGGGAAUCUGGCUUAUGGAGGGGGCUAACUACGGGAAACUGUAGCUAAUACCGCGUACCAUAGGAUGAGCCCAAGUGGGAUUAGGUAGUUGGUGAGGUAAAGGGUCACCAAGGCGACGCUGUCUAGCUGGUCUGAGAGGAUGACCAGCCACACUGGGACGGAGACACGGCCCAGACUCCGACGGGAGGCAGCAGUGGGGAAGAUUUGGCAAUGGGGGCAAGCUGACCGAGCAAUGCCGCGUGAAUGAAGAAGGGCUUCGGGUUGGAAAGUUCUUUCGGUAGCGAGGCGUUAACUACAGAAGAAGCACCGGCUAACUCCGUGCCAGCAGCCGCGGUAAUAC
Molecule: ribosomal RNA, 405 nt
Filed under: uncultured bacterium
Lineage: Bacteria
Description: partial 16S ribosomal RNA
Rfam family: Bacterial small subunit ribosomal RNA
Source: RNAcentral